This 67-nucleotide transfer RNA is filed under the name Ergatettix serrifemora. RNAcentral describes it as "tRNA-Cys". Lineage: Eukaryota; Metazoa; Arthropoda; Insecta; Orthoptera; Tetrigidae. The record is from RNAcentral.
GGUCUUGUAUUCAAGAAUGAUUUUAGACUGCAAUUCUAAAGGUAUGAAUUAAUUAUCAUUAAGGCCU